CUCGCGGCAGUAGCGCGGUGGUCCCACCUGACCCCAUGCCGAACUCAGAAGUGAAACGCCGUAGCGCCGAUGGUAGUGUGGGGUCUCCCCAUGCGAGAGUAGGGAACUGCCAGGC
RNAcentral lists this ribosomal RNA (115 nucleotides) under Salmonella enterica subsp. enterica serovar Enteritidis. The record is from RNAcentral. Lineage: Bacteria; Pseudomonadati; Pseudomonadota; Gammaproteobacteria; Enterobacterales; Enterobacteriaceae.